AACGCGAAGAACCUUACCUGGGCUCGAACGGCUUUGGAAACUCCUUGGAAACAGGGAUUUCCCGCAAGGGACCGGAGUCGAGGUGCUGCAUGGCUGUCGUCAGCUCGUGUCGUGAGAUGUUGGGUUAAGUCCCGCAACGAGCGCAACCCUUGUCCUGUGUUGCCACUCCGUAAGGAAGCACUCGCAGGAGACCGCCAGCGAUAAGCUGGAGGAAGGUGGGGAUGAUGUCAAGUCAUCAUGGCCUUUAUGUCCAGGGCUACACACGUGCUACAAUGGCCGGUACAAAGCGCUGCAAACCCGCGAGGGGAAGCUAAUCGCAAAAAACCGGUCUCAGUUCGGAUCGCAGGCUGCAACUCGCCUGCGUGAAGCUGGAAUCGCUAGUAAUGGCGUAUCAGAACGAUGCCGUGAAUACGUUCCCGGGCCUUGUA
Molecule: ribosomal RNA, 428 nt
Filed under: uncultured Acidobacterium sp.
Lineage: Bacteria; Pseudomonadati; Acidobacteriota; Terriglobia; Terriglobales; Acidobacteriaceae
Description: bacterial SSU rRNA
Rfam family: Bacterial small subunit ribosomal RNA
Source: RNAcentral